Molecule: ribosomal RNA, 469 nt
Filed under: uncultured bacterium
Lineage: Bacteria
Description: partial 16S ribosomal RNA
Rfam family: Bacterial small subunit ribosomal RNA
Source: RNAcentral
GAUGAACGCUGGCGGCGUGCUUAACACAUGCAAGUCGAACGGUGAACACGGAGCUUGCUCUGUGGCAUCAGUGGCGAACGGGUGAGUAACACGUGAGCACCCUGCCCCUGACUCUGGGAUAAGCGCUGGAAACGGCGUCUAAUACUGGAUAUGUGACGUGACCGCAUGGUCUGCGUUUGGAAAGAUUUUUCGGUUGGGGUUGGGCUCGCGGCCUAUCAGCUUGUUGGUGAGGUAAUGGCUCACCAAGGCGUCGACGGGUAGCCGGCCUGAGAGGGUGACCGGCCACACUGGGACUGAGACACGGGCCAGACUCCUACGGGAGGCAGCAGUGGGGAAUAUUGCACAAUGGGCGGAAGCCUGAUGCAGCAACGCCGCGUGAGGGAUGACGGCCUUCGGGUUGUAAACCUCUUUUAGCAGGGAAGAAGCGAAAGUGACGGUACCUGCAGAAAAAGCGCCGGCUAACUACGUG